This 73-nucleotide transfer RNA is filed under the name Pediococcus claussenii. RNAcentral's name for it is "tRNA-Thr". It matches the Rfam family "tRNA". Rfam says of the family: Transfer RNA (tRNA) molecules are approximately 80 nucleotides in length. Their secondary structure includes four short double-helical elements and three loops (D, anti-codon, and T loops). The record is from RNAcentral. RNAcentral also lists the same sequence under 1 other name. Lineage: Bacteria; Bacillati; Bacillota; Bacilli; Lactobacillales; Lactobacillaceae.
GCCAGCUUAGCUCAGUUGGUAGAGCAACGGUAUCGUAAGCCGUGGGUCGGGUGUUCGAGUCGCCUAGCUGGCA